ACGCUGGCGGCGUGCCUAAUACAUGCAAGUCGAACGGUCUUUCUAUGGAAGCUUGCUUCCACUGAGAAGAUAGUGGCGAACGGGUGAGUAACACGUGGGUAAUCUGCCCAUAAGAGGGGGAUAACAUCCGGAAACGGGUGCUAAUACCGCAUAGUUUUCUUGAUCGCAUGAUCGGGAAAGGAAAGACGGCCUUUGUGCUGUCGCUUAUGGAUGGACCCGCGGCGUAUUAGUUAGUUGGUGAGGUAACGGCUCACCAAGACGAUGAUACGUAGCCGACCUGAGAGGGUGAUCGGCCACAUUGGGACUGAGACACGGCCCAAACUCCUACGGGAGGCAGCAGUAGGGAAUCUUCCGCAAUGGACGAAAGUCUGACGGAGCAACGCCGCGUGAGUGAAAGAAGGUUUUCGGAUCGUAAAACUCUGUUGUCAGAGAAGAACAAGUUGGAGAGUAACUGCUCCAGCCUUGACGGUAUCUGACCAGAAAGCCACGGCUAACUACGUGCCAGCCGCGGC
RNAcentral lists this ribosomal RNA (512 nucleotides) under uncultured bacterium. Its description in RNAcentral is "bacterial SSU rRNA". It matches the Rfam family "Bacterial small subunit ribosomal RNA", at positions 33 to 518 of the family's 1533-position model. The record is from RNAcentral.